RNAcentral lists this ribosomal RNA (525 nucleotides) under Calicium lecideinum. RNAcentral's name for it is "eukaryotic LSU rRNA". The stretch from base 179 to 332 matches the Rfam family "5.8S ribosomal RNA". Lineage: Eukaryota; Fungi; Ascomycota; Lecanoromycetes; Caliciales; Caliciaceae. The record is from RNAcentral.
UUACCGAGAGACGAGGCUUCCAGUGGUCUCACUCUUCCACCGUGCAUAUUGACCUCUGUUGCUUUGGCGGGCUCUCAGCCUGGCCCCUGGAUCCCCGAUCUUGGGUUAUGCCCUCCCGCCCAAGGCCCUCAAAUGAACUCUGGUAUUGACAUCGUCCGAGUUUGUAUCGAAUCUAUAAAACUUUCAACAACGGAUCUCUUGGUUCUGGCAUCGAUGAAGAACGCAGCGAAAUGCGAUAAGUAAUGUGAAUUGCAGAAUUCAGUGAAUCAUCGAAUCUUUGAACGCACAUUGCGCCCUCUGGUAUUCCGGGGGGCAUGCCUGUUCGAGCGUCAUUGCAACCCUCAAGCAUUGCUUGGUACUGGGUCUCGCCCCUGCGGCGGGCCCGAAAUCCGGUGACGGUCCGCGAGGACUCCGGGCGUAGUAAGAUUUUUCAAUCCCGCUUUGGAAGCUCUCGAGUGUGACCGGUCAAACCUUACGUAUUUUCCACGAUUGACCUCGGAUCAGGUAGGGAUACCCGCUGAACUU